Molecule: ribosomal RNA, 465 nt
Filed under: uncultured bacterium
Lineage: Bacteria
Description: partial 16S ribosomal RNA
Rfam family: Bacterial small subunit ribosomal RNA
Source: RNAcentral
CCUACGGGAGGCAGCAGUAGGGAAUCUUCCACAAUGGGCGAAAGCCUGAUGGAGCUACGCCGCGUGGGUGAAGAAGGUCUUCGGAUCGUAAAACCCUGUUGUUCGAGACGAAAGUGCGUGAGAUUAACUGUUCACGUUUCGACGGUAUCUUACCAGAAAGCCACGGCUAACUACGUGCCAGCAGCCGCGGUAAUACGUAGGUGGCAAGCGUUAUUCGGAUUUAUUGGGCGUAAAGGGAUCGCAGGCGGUUUUUUAAGUCUGAUGUGAAAGCCUUCGGCUUAACCGGAGUAGUGCAUUGGAGACUGGGAGACUAGAGUGCAGAAGAGGGGAGUGGAACUCCAAGUGUAGCAGUGAAAUGCGUAGAUAUAUGGAAGAAAACCAGUGGCGAAAGCGGCUCUCUGGGCUGUAACUGACGCUGAGGUUCGAAAGCGUGGGUAGCAAACAGGAUUAGAUACCUGGGUAGUC